GGUGUUGAAAUAUGAGCUAAACAUAGAUAAGCUAUUCUUGAUUAUUCUUCAUCCAUACUAUUCUUAAAGCUUCCAUUAAUCUGAUCACUUGAUGUUAGAUCCUAAGUUUAUCGCCUAGCUAACCGCUUAGGAGAUAGCUUGACAUGUAUUGAAUGAGCUUAGUAUCCCUAAUCAGCGAAAGUAGAUAUUAGGGUAGUAAGUGAACUGAUCG
This 211-nucleotide long non-coding RNA is filed under the name Brassica rapa (field mustard). RNAcentral's name for it is "long non-coding RNA (BRAP_LNC001514)". Lineage: Eukaryota; Viridiplantae; Streptophyta; Magnoliopsida; Brassicales; Brassicaceae. The record is from RNAcentral.